RNAcentral lists this unclassified non-coding RNA (390 nucleotides) under soil metagenome. RNAcentral describes it as "partial contains 5.8S ribosomal RNA, internal transcribed spacer 2, and large subunit ribosomal RNA". The stretch from base 1 to 122 matches the Rfam family "5.8S ribosomal RNA", at positions 35 to 154 of the family's 154-position model. The record is from RNAcentral.
GAUGAAGAACGCAGCGAAAUGCGAUACUUGGUGUGAAUUGCAGAAUCCCGUGAACCAUCGAGUCUUUGAACGCAAGUUGCGCCCGAAGCCAUUAGGCCGAGGGCACGCCUGCCUGGGCGUCACACGUCGUUGCCCCCCCAUCUACUCCUUCGGGAUUGCGGGGGGCGGAUGAUGGCCUCCCGUGCGCCUCGCCGCGCGGUUGGCAUAAAUGCCAAGUCCUCGGCGACGCACGCCACGACAAUCGGUGGUUGCGAAACCUCGGUUGCCCGUCGUGUGCGGUCGUCGCGCAUCGAGGGCUCGAAAAAAUUGCCGGGUUCCGGCUCGGCUUUCAACGCGACCCCAGGUCAGGCGGGGUUACCCGCUGAAUUUAAGCAUAUCAAAAGCGGAGGA